This 467-nucleotide ribosomal RNA is filed under the name uncultured bacterium. Its description in RNAcentral is "partial 16S ribosomal RNA". It matches the Rfam family "Bacterial small subunit ribosomal RNA", at positions 28 to 507 of the family's 1533-position model. The record is from RNAcentral.
GACGAACGCUGGCGGCGUGCUUAACACAUGCAAGUCGAACGGAAAGGCCCUGCUUUUGUGGGGUGCUCGAGUGGCGAACGGGUGAGUAACACGUGAGUAACCUGCCCUUGACUUUGGGAUAACUUCAGGAAACUGGGGCUAAUACCGGAUAGGAGCUCCUGCUGCAUGGUGGGGGUUGGAAAGUUUCGGCGGUUGGGGAUGGACUCGCGGCUUAUCAGCUUGUUGGUGGGGUAGUGGCUUACCAAGGCUUUGACGGGUAGCCGGCCUGAGAGGGUGACCGGCCACAUUGGGACUGAGAUACGGCCCAGACGCCUACGGGAGGCAGCAGUGGGGAAUAUUGCACAAUGGGCGGAAGCCUGAUGCAGCAACGCCGCGUGCGGGAUGACGGCCUUCGGGUUGUAAACCGCUUUCGCCUGUGACGAAGCGUGAGUGACGGUAAUGGGUAAGAAGCACCGGCUAACUACGUG